This 270-nucleotide ribosomal RNA is filed under the name uncultured bacterium. Its description in RNAcentral is "partial 16S ribosomal RNA". It matches the Rfam family "Bacterial small subunit ribosomal RNA", at positions 28 to 299 of the family's 1533-position model. The record is from RNAcentral.
GAUUAACGCUGGCGGCGUGCCUGACACAUGCAAGUCGAACGAGCGAAGGACUUCGGUCCCUAGCGAGUGGCGGACGGGUGAGUAACACGUGAGGAACCUACCUUCAAGUGGGGAAUAACUGCCAGAAAUGGCAGCUAAUACCGCAUGUGGUUGUCUGUUGGCAUCUUCGGACAACUAAAGAUUUAUCGCUUGGAGACGGCCUCGCGGCCUAUUAGCUAGUUGGUGGGGUAAUGGCCUACCAAGGCGAUGAUGGGUAGCUGGUCUGAGAGG